Molecule: non-coding RNA, 111 nt
Organism: Acanthosepion pharaonis
Lineage: Eukaryota; Metazoa; Mollusca; Cephalopoda; Sepiida; Sepiidae
Source: the annotation of a GenBank genome assembly
ACGGCCAUAGCAUUUUGAAACACCAGUUCCAAUAGGAUCACCAAAGUUAAGCAACGUCAGCCGGGUCAGUACCUAGAUAUGUGACCGCUUGGGAAUACCAGGUGCUGUAAG